GGUCAGGAAGCAAGCAGCCCUAAAGAAUA
Molecule: non-coding RNA, 29 nt
Filed under: Alexandrium andersonii
Lineage: Eukaryota; Dinophyceae; Gonyaulacales; Pyrocystaceae
Source: RNAcentral